UGGAAAAGCCACAGAUACUCAAUGCCAGU
RNAcentral lists this non-coding RNA (29 nucleotides) under Homo sapiens (human). The record is from RNAcentral. Lineage: Eukaryota; Metazoa; Chordata; Mammalia; Primates; Hominidae.